This 253-nucleotide ribosomal RNA is filed under the name uncultured bacterium. Its description in RNAcentral is "partial 16S ribosomal RNA". It matches the Rfam family "Bacterial small subunit ribosomal RNA", at positions 524 to 776 of the family's 1533-position model. The record is from RNAcentral.
UACAGAGGUCCCAAGCGUUGUUCGGAUUCACUGGGCGUAAAGGGUGCGUAGGCGGUGGGGUAAGUCUGAUGUGAAAUCCCGCAGCUUAACUGCGGAACUGCAUUGGAAACUACUUCACUAGAGGAAUGGAGGGGAGACUGGAAUACUUGGUGUAGCAGUGAAAUGCGUAGAUAUCAAGUGGAACACCAGUGGCGAAGGCGAGUCUCUGGACAGUUCCUGACGCUGAGGCACGAAAGCCAGGGGAGCAAACAGG